UUUAAAAUUUCUGGGACUUAAAUUUAUGAAAAUGGUCUUUGGAAGUAUUUUUGAUAUAGUGAGCUCAAUUGACUUCUAAGUUGAUGGCUUUUUUAUUUUUAUUUUAUUUUUAUUUAUUUAUUUUUGCUUUGCUUUGGAGUGUCUUCACAUAACUUGGACUGGCCUUGAGAUCAUGACCCUGCAGCCUCAGUCUCCUGAGGACUGGGACUACAGGUGUGUAUGACCAUGCUGGACGUUCUACCUGCGUGUUUGGCUGUACCAUAUAUGUGCCUGGUGCCUGUGGAGAUUAGAGGAGGGCAUCAGGUACCCUGAGGCUGGAGUUGCACAGUUGUUAAUUGCCAUGUAGGUAAUUGGAAUAGAACCCAGGGCCACUAGAAGAUCAUUACCAUCUCUUUAGCCCCUAAGUUAAUAUUUUUAAUAAGUAUGGAAAUGUUAACAUUUUGCUAAAUUAUGAUUGAAAAAUUAACAUGUUCCCACCAUUUUUUUUGAUGAUUAUCUUUGAGGCUUCAUGUGUUCUUUUGAAUGCUUUUGCUUUAACACAGCUAUUAAGUAGGAAAAUUGAUGUUUAAACUAGAAUUUUCACUUUCAUGAGAUAAUUUUAUACUUUUCAAAUAUGUGCCUCCAUGUUUAAAAUGUAUUCUACUGUAAAUUUUGAUGUCAUUAUAUCAUUUACUUAUUCGUACAGUAUGAGUAAAGCAAACAUUUACCCUGCUACAAAAUUUGAUCUUUUUGCAUCAAUUCUCUAUGUCAUCUCAUCUUUUCUGCUUUUUCGCUGUCUUCCAUUAGAGCUAAUAGAACCUUCUCCAGAGAAAAGGUUAAUCAUUUUCGCUUAGAUGUUUAACUUCAGACUAUCCUUUUUUGGGGAUAGGGGAGAUACAGUGAAACAUAUUAAGUAACAUUAUUUCAUUAAAACCUAAAGGAUGUGAAUUAGUUCAGUGGUGAACAGGAGUGUAUAGGAUACUUAGAACAAGGGUGACAUCUCAAACUUUUUUGUAUGCUGUGAUUUCAGUGUAUUUCUUCAUCAAUAGCUAGUAUCUUAAAGUCAGAAAUAACUAAAUGUAAUUUUAAUAUAAAGACUGGUUGCCUCAGGAAACUUCCUUAGUUUGGUAAGUCUAUUGAGUGGGUGAUACAUUAACAAAAAUAAAUAUUUACUAUUCUUUUAUUUUUUAUCAUAAAGAAUGUUCUGUCAUGCAGAGCUGAAGAUGUUCACAGGUGGUUUAUUUAACCACUUUCUGUGUUUUCACAUACAGAAUCCUGGCCUAAACUCUCCCAUAACUGUUAGUUUACUUAAUAUUCUCCAUGUUAAAAUUGUGUCUUCAUUUUACAAGUGAGAAGGUAAUGGUGCAAGCGUUUGUCUUUAGUUGAGGAGACAGAUGUGUAAGAAAAGUAGGUAACAAUCUUAGUCCUCGGAAGCAACAGAAAGCUGUGCCGGAUCUGAGGAAAAUGGGUCUAUUAGGAGAGAACAAGAGACUGAGCUGGGCCCAGGAUGGAGAGCAGCAGGCCCUCUUUCCAGUGGCUCUGGAGCACAGGGCAGAUGUUCUCAGGUUUCAGUUGAGGGUUCAGACUGCCAGGUGGAGGAGGCUCCUGCUCUAGGGCUGCAGGAGCCCUCAUGUCUUCCUCCUCCUGGCGUUUUCUGGCUGACUCAGGCAGUUUUGCCCCAGGAGGGUUUUCCUUCUCCCUCUGUUGGAAGCCUGAGCUUUGGAAAUAAUAGAUUUUUUUUUUAGCCUCAGGCCAGUUCAUCCUCCCCUUGCCCAUUGUAUAUUCCUGUGAAAAUAAGUACUCAGUCGUGAUUUUUAUGUGCAUAUUGUAUGAAACUUAGAGAUUGAUAGUAAGUAACAGAAUUAAAGGGCAAAGCAGUCUUUUCUGUUUGAAUUCAGGAGAGAAGGUGAGAGAGCAGUUAAAUGUAGAAAAAAAGGGAGAAAAGAAACAUUGUGGAAAUGAAGAGAUAAAUUGGGAGCAGGAGGAUGAUGGGAAAGGAAAGGAGAGACUUGCUGAUUUGCAUCACACCCACACCUCCUCCCCAAAUUCACAGAAACAGGCAAUGUCACUUUCUUUUUCAUGACGUGUGCUGAGCCAGGGAGUUGAGAAUCGUGGGAGUGGAAAUUUUCUUCCUUUUGCAUUUUGAGACUUGGGUGUGCUGCUAAGAUGCCACUGGUAUCUGAGUACUGUUUGUUGAUACUGGAUAUUUCUGUGUAGCCUUUGUGGAUGGGCUUAUAACACAAACAGUGCUGUUAGAAGGAUUGCAGGUACUCCAGUGCUGUGUUUAUUUUACUAGUUAAAAAAUUGCCAGAGCCCUAAGACUUCUGAGCACAUUUAGAAAACACCAGAGGCAACUUUAAGAAUAGCUUUAGUAAAAAAGAAAGAAAGGAAAUUAAGACUUAGUGCUGACCGACAUGUAAGUUUUUCUUCAGAGAGCAUAAGUUAGGGUCCAGCAUUUUAAAAACUUAAAUGUAAAAUAGUUUUUUUGUAAUAUUACCUUCUUAAUUGUCUAGAUAAAAGUGCAGCACUUUUAUUCCACAGAAUAUGAGAUUAAAGUUAGAAAGAAUUUGGAGGGAUUUUAGCCCGAUUUUUAAGUUCCAUUUUGGUCAUGUAUAAAGAUCCUUGAUCAGAUCAUGGGUCUCAAAUUAUUUCUUCCUGAUUUAUGAUUGUAAUAGGACAGAAUAAUUGAAAUUAUAACCAUUUCACAAAAUCUAAGAUACAUUGCCAGUCUUAUUUUUAAACUCUCUGGUAACUCAUUUUAUGCCUCUUCCUCACUUUUUUAUCUUACUAGCUGUAUAAAAAGUAGAUUACUCAUUCACAUUUAUGAAAAAAUAGUUGCUUUGAAUAACAAAAUGUCGAGUUAAAUCGUAAACUGUUGAUUUGGACAAAGUAAUAGCUGAGUGACUGUUUGUUUCCCAGGUAGAGAAGCAUCUGACAGGGUUUGUUUAGUUCUCCAUCUGUGAAAUAAUGUGAAUUAACCAUGCUUUUCCCAGUCAGUGCAUAGCCCUGGCAUUCUGUUCAAGCAUUCAUGGACUCUGGGAAGCAGAAAGGGGCAGGCAGAUUUUCUUUCUUAUUUUCCUUGUAUCUAAUUCUUGUACUUGUCCAUUCUUCGCUAUUGUCAUGGAAACUUCCCCCUCCUCUGACACUGUUCUCAUUACACUCUAGAUUGCCACUGUGCCCAGUUUUCCACAUUAGGCAGAACUGGAACCUGGGCCUACAAGCAUGUAGAAAGGGUCCCAGCUUUCUUGGACUCUUCUCCCAGAAGCAUGAGCUGCAUAGUGCUGCUUAUUUAUUGCCGCUGUUUGUUCCUAUGUCUGCUGUUCGCCUGGCUUGAGCUGUCUUUUAACCUCCACUCUUAAUGCUUAACUUUACAAGUGAAAUUUGAGCCAGUCACACUGGAAAUGUCAGCCAUCCCUAGUGGGUCAAUUCACAUUCAUCACAGAUCUACUGAGUACUUAUUAAGUGGGUAACUAUUUUUUACAUAGGAGUAUUUUUUUAUCUUGCAGGUUUAUAGUUACUUCAUGAAAUUUUUAAAAAUUCUUACUUAAAAGCCACUUAGCUUUAGAUAACCCCAAACAAACACUUUUUAAUCAAAUAUUAACUUCCCAUAAAACUCUCCUAAUUUUCAGGUAAGCAAGCUAUUUAUUCUCUUAUGAAACGAUACAGAGUUGUGAAAGCUGAUUCAAAGGUUGGACUCUGAAUAAGACUUUUGUCCUGAUUUUCUAUGUGCUUUAUUGCUAUUUGCCUUCGGCAUAAGGUAUGUGAUCCUCCUUUGUUCCCUGCUUGCAUCUGUGUUUCUUACCAAAUGGCACUGUAGGCAAGUUCUACAGGAAGCUUUCUAAGUUAGCUUCUAACUGCUGUGUCUGUAACUGUACUUUCAAACAGCUGUGUAAUGCUGCUAUUUUAAAAAAAAAUGUGGGUGUGGAAAGUGGUGGUGAAAUGAAUUCAGGGUAAUUGGUGACUUUGUAUUAAGAGAAAAAAAAUCACUGGUUAAGAGAAAUCCGCUUCCAUGAUUUAUAUAUCUUUAAUUUUAAAAUCUUUCAACCCAUCUUUACUCUGUUUCCACUGUAUUUCAUAAAUUUAAAAAAAAAAUCAAGAAAUUAGUCAUGGCGCUUGAUAGCUGUAAGGAUUUUAUAGAAAAUUUUAUUAACCCUCUUAUUGAGAAAAUUGACAUCCAGUGUAGUCUAAUGAAAUCAGGUAACUAGCUGGUUUAAAAGCCUAAAUAACAUUUUAGUAGUUUGUUUCCAUUAGUAUAUACUGUUCUAUUUAAGCUUCCUUAGCCUUCUAAUAAUCAGAAAAGGACAGUCCAGGAACAUAACUACUAGUUAGGGACAUGUGUUCUUUGUCUUCUUACACACACCUUGGUCACUUCUCCAGGAAGGUCUGAUGAGCAGGUAUUACUGUUUCCUUUCAUAGAGAAAGCAGCUCGGGCUCAAAGUUACAGAUCUCCCCUACCCCCCAGGUGUCUGCUAGGUAACCCUGUGUUUCUUGUCUUCCUGUAAUUUAAGAUUCACCAGCUGGUCUUGGAGAAUUCUCACAGGGGAGAGUGGGGAACAGCAUCUUGAUGUUGUGACUUCUGCUUCUUUGUUGAGUUGUAAGCUCCCAAAAGAUGUUGUCUAAUUGUUAAAAAGAUGCAUCUUAAGAAUUCUCUUACUGAUGUCUUGAAGAUUCAGCCAGCAUAUACUAAGCACCCACUUUCUGCAGGGCACCUCUUGGGGCACUUCUAUAGAUGGCAGGAGAUCGAAUCAUGGCCACGGGCAAAGACUAAAGGUAGUUUCUUUCCUUUCAAAGACUUGCCUUUGUAGGGAGGUGUGAAAGAUACUAGUCCCUGUGUCUGAAAUUGGUCAGCUCUUUCUAAAUUUCUGUAUUAAAGUUCAUAUUAAAGUAAUGUACAUCAUAUAGAAAAACAAGGAAGUGAGUUUUUCAUAGUAACAGUUAUAUGACUUGGUUAUUGUCUUGACUUUCUUUUUAUUGAUAACAUAGCUAGUACUCUCAUCGCAUAACUUUGAAAGCAUUGUCAUAAGUGCUUACAGAAUGAAUCAAUUUGGUAAUAUGACAUUCUGGGUAUUUUAUGGCAGUUGAUUAUUAUUAAAGACUAGACUAACCUUGCCUUUUAAAUGCUUUCAAAGAAAAUUAGUUAAGUAGUAGACUACUCUAUAAUAUUUAACAAUACCAAAUCAUUUAAGUUACUAAUAUAUAUAUAGUUAUACAUAUAUAGUUACAUACACACACACACACACACAUUCUGGACAGUUGGCCUAAGUUAAAAAUAGAUGUUUUCCAGUUACUGAUACUGGUUAACAGACUUUUUUUUUUUAAUUUUCAUUUUUUUAAAUAAAGUCUUACUGUGUUAUCCAUGUUGGUCUUGAACUCUGGUCCUUCUAAAACUACAAGUGUGUAGCAGCUCCAACUCAAAUACUUGUUUUGAGACAGUUUCCCUGUGUAGCCCUGCCUGACCUGAAACACCUUAUAUAUUCUUAGUAGCGAGGCUAGCCUCAGAUUCUGCCUCCUGAGUGCUAUGAUUACAAGUGUACUUCACUGUGCCUGGUAAAAUAAAUAUUUUUUUUAAAAGGCAGCAUUUGUUAUAAAAUGGUUCACAUCUGAAACAAUAUAUUAUCCUGAAGGAAUAAUACUGAUCAUGCUGAGUUUUUAUAGCGUGGGAAUUAUAGCUUUAGUUUUGUUUUUAAAGUAGUUCAGUAUUUGAGCUCAUUUCUGCCAUGUGAUUGUUAAUAAUAAAACUUAAAUGUACUUGAUAUUCCUUUAGAAGCAUUCUGUAUUUCAGCAGAAGCAGGAGGGUAUUUCUGUUCUUUGGAAGGAGCCUAAUUGAGCAAAGUCUGGCAGAAAGAGCUGAGCCAGCAGCCUGUGGUCUGAGGGAGGUUGCCUGGGAACUGCUGACAGUGAGAGAAUGGGAGUGGAAUUCAGAACAUUCAGAUGUGGAGUUAAUGUGCGUCACUGCUGCCAGCCCCUGCUGCCAGCGAUAGGUUCUGUGUUUUUCCAGUGGGAAACUCAGAUCCACCGACUGAUCCUGCAGACCGGCACCUCCUUGCCUUUUCUGCUUUCCUCCUGAUUGUUGCUUAUUCCUUCAAACAUCAGCUGACUGGACAAGGCCUCUAUGAACGCGGGUUUCAGAACAAAGGUGAUCUGUAGAAGCAGCACGUCACAGUGCUUCGAAAUGUCUCAUGAGUGGUGUGCUUCCGAUAAUGACACGGGAACAGAAUCCAUUCUCGAGCAGAGAGGAGGGUGAGUUUUUUUUCCGUGCUAAUGAUCCAGGAAUGGAGCACUCCCUGGGAAGCCCUCAGGAAAGGUCUUGUACAAAUCAAUACUGCCAGUCAAGUGUUUCUUCCACUGGGGAUAUCAAGGCUAAAACUCACUGGGCAGGAAAAUUCAGGACUGGACCC
Peromyscus maniculatus bairdii (prairie deer mouse) is the source of this 6377-nucleotide non-coding RNA. The record is from RefSeq and is a predicted model, not a curated record. NCBI's taxonomy places the organism in Eukaryota, Metazoa, Chordata, Mammalia, Rodentia, Cricetidae.